This 301-nucleotide ribosomal RNA is filed under the name uncultured bacterium. RNAcentral's name for it is "partial 16S ribosomal RNA". It matches the Rfam family "Bacterial small subunit ribosomal RNA", at positions 509 to 807 of the family's 1533-position model. The record is from RNAcentral.
CAGUAGCCGCGGGAAUACGUAGGGUGCGAGCGUUAAUCGGAAUUACUGGGCGUAAAGCGUGCGCAGGCGGUUUGUUAAGACAGAUGUGAAAUCCCCGGGCUUAACCUGGGAACUGCAUUUGUGACUGGCCGGCUAGAGUAUGGCAGAGGGAGGUGGAAUUCCACGUGUAGCAGUGAAAUGCGUAGAUAUGUGGAGGAACACCGAUGGCGAAGGCAGCCUCCUGGGCCAAUACUGACGCUCAUGCACGAAAGCGUGGGGAGCAAACAGGAUUAGAUACCCCGGUAGUCCCUGUCUCUUAUAC